CCCCUCGUCGUUCAAUGGAUAGGACGGAACUUUGCGGAAGUUCUGAUGUAGGUUCGAUUCCUACCGAGGGGA
Molecule: transfer RNA, 72 nt
Filed under: Candidatus Yanofskybacteria bacterium RIFCSPHIGHO2_01_FULL_43_32
Lineage: Bacteria; Candidatus Yanofskyibacteriota
Also listed under: 7 other names
Description: tRNA-Arg
Rfam family: tRNA
About the family: Transfer RNA (tRNA) molecules are approximately 80 nucleotides in length.
Source: RNAcentral